UGCAAGUCGAACGAUAUAGUGGCAGACGGGUGAGUAUCGCGUGGGAACGUACCUUUCACUACGGAAUAGCUCUGGGAAACUGGUGGUAAUACCGUAUACGCCCUUAGGGGGAAAGAUUUAUCGGUGAAAGAUCGGCCCGCGUUGGAUUAGCUAGUUGGUGAGGUAAUGGCUCACAAAGGCGACGAUCCAUAGCUGGUCUGAGAGGAUGAUCAGCCACACUGGGACUGAGACACGGCCCAGACUCCUACGGGAGGCAGCAGUGGGGAAUCUUGCACAAUGAGCGAAAGCCUGAUGCAGCCAUGCCGCGUGAAUGAUGAAGGCCUUAGGGUUGUAAAAUUCUUUCGUCAGGGAUGAUAAUGACCGUACCUGAAGAAGAAGCCCCGGCUAACUUCGUGCCAGCAGCCGCGGUAAUACGAAGGGGGCUAGCGUUGUUCGGAAUUACUGGGCGUAAAGCGCACGUAGGCGGACUUUUAAGUCAGGUGUGAAAUCCCGAGGCUCAACCUCGGAACUGCAUUUGAAACUGGGAGUCUGGAGAUCAGGAGAGGUUAGCGGAAUACCGAGUGUAGAGGUGAAAUUCGUAGAUAUUCGGUGGAACACCAUCGGCGAAAGCGGCUAACUGGACUGAUACUGACGCUGAAGUGCGAAAGUGUGGGGAGCAAACACGAUUACAUACCCUG
Molecule: ribosomal RNA, 677 nt
Filed under: uncultured bacterium
Lineage: Bacteria
Description: bacterial SSU rRNA
Rfam family: Bacterial small subunit ribosomal RNA
Source: RNAcentral